RNAcentral lists this ribosomal RNA (1019 nucleotides) under Escherichia coli. Its description in RNAcentral is "partial 23S ribosomal RNA". It matches the Rfam family "Bacterial large subunit ribosomal RNA", at positions 728 to 1746 of the family's 2925-position model. The record is from RNAcentral. Lineage: Bacteria; Pseudomonadati; Pseudomonadota; Gammaproteobacteria; Enterobacterales; Enterobacteriaceae.
AUCUAGCCAUGGGCAGGUUGAAGGUUGGGUAACACUAACUGGAGGACCGAACCGACUAAUGUUGAAAAAUUAGCGGAUGACUUGUGGCUGGGGGUGAAAGGCCAAUCAAACCGGGAGAUAGCUGGUUCUCCCCGAAAGCUAUUUAGGUAGCGCCUCGUGAAUUCAUCUCCGGGGGUAGAGCACUGUUUCGGCAAGGGGGUCAUCCCGACUUACCAACCCGAUGCAAACUGCGAAUACCGGAGAAUGUUAUCACGGGAGACACACGGCGGGUGCUAACGUCCGUCGUGAAGAGGGAAACAACCCAGACCGCCAGCUAAGGUCCCAAAGUCAUGGUUAAGUGGGAAACGAUGUGGGAAGGCCCAGACAGCCAGGAUGUUGGCUUAGAAGCAGCCAUCAUUUAAAGAAAGCGUAAUAGCUCACUGGUCGAGUCGGCCUGCGCGGAAGAUGUAACGGGGCUAAACCAUGCACCGAAGCUGCGGCAGCGACGCUGAUGCGUUGUUGGGUAGGGGAGCGUUCUGUAAGCCUGUGAAGGUGUGCUGUGAGGCAUGCUGGAGGUAUCAGAAGUGCGAAUGCUGACAUAAGUAACGAUAAAGCGGGUGAAAAGCCCGCUCGCCGGAAGACCAAGGGUUCCUGUCCAACGUUAAUCGGGGCAGGGUGAGUCGACCCCUAAGGCGAGGCCGAAAGGCGUAGUCGAUGGGAAACAGGUUAAUAUUCCUGUACUUGGUGUUACUGCGAAGGGGGGACGGAGAAGGCUAUGUUGGCCGGGCGACGGUUGUCCCGGUUUAAGCGUGUAGGCUGGUUUUCCAGGCAAAUCCGGAAAAUCAAGGCUGAGGCGUGAUGACGAGGCACUACGGUGCUGAAGCAACAAAUGCCCUGCUUCCAGGAAAAGCCUCUAAGCAUCAGGUAACAUCAAAUCGUACCCCAAACCGACACAGGUGGUCAGGUAGAGAAUACCAAGGCGCUUGAGAGAACUCGGGUGAAGGAACUAGGCAAAAUGGUGCCGUAACUUCGGGAGAAGG